UCGCUCAUUUGGCAGAAGCAUUUGCAGCGGAGCAUAAGGGGUGGAAGCCAGACUGCAGAGAAACUGAUGACUGGCUGUAAACGGGCUCUAUCCUUUGCUUCUCCUGACCUGAAGAAAGCUGGUCGCCCACUUUGCCCUGCUGACUGAAGUAGUGAGUCUUGGCUAAAUCAGAUUAGGGUCUGUUACGUCUCAGCUCUGUGUUCUUGGGCAACCCUGGCACAGGAUGCAGUCUGUCUGACUCACAAAGGACUCACACCCCUUCCCUCCCCUCCUCUACCUAAACGAAAGUCAUUAAGAUGCAGUGAGAGACGCACCUAAGACCCUCAAGAUAAGGGUGACAAGAGUGAACCAACUGCCCUAGGUCUCAUUUACAUCUGAGAUGGAACCAGAUGACCAUUCAUUUACAUGAGAGAUGGAGAACAGAAAGCCUGAAGCAGAGACUGCAGUGAAUUCUGGGACCAGAGAAGCAGGGGAGCACUGCAUGAUGGGGAAUCUGUGCUCCAAAUUUUUAUCAACCCAUGUUCACACACACCCAGCUCAGCAUUUAUCAGACCAGUUCUAAUCUGGAUUUACUAAGGACUUUUCCCCCCCCAGACACACACACACCUCUAAGUUUAAUAGGCAUCUCGGGCCAUACAUUCCCCGGUCCCACUAUGGGAGGCCUAUUUAAACUUGAUUGACUAAAACUCGGUUGCUGGGUUAGGGAAUGCUGAGGCAAGACACCGAGUCAGAGGGGGUAUGGACAACAUUUGAACAAUGGUUAAGGGUUCAUCACAACGUCCAGCCCGUUGGAACCCUAAUCACAGGUGUUAUCGUACCUUUCCCGAGACGACUGGUGGGAGUCCUCUCCACAAAAGGUUAUGAACACCCCAAUAAUUGCUUUAAGUCUGUUAAAAGACUAUAGUAAAAUCUGGAAAAGUCAUGCUAAGCUGAGGCUUGUGCACAACAAGUACAAAUCCAAAAUCCUGAUGCUGCAAGCUAUCUAUUGUUCCUGAAGAAACCAUGAGAUAUCCCAUCAGGAUAUCUGCCAUCCAUAGGAAUCUCAAGCUGGCUCCCAAGUAUUUGGUUACUCCCUAAUCUUAAGUGUUUCCUGAUUAUCAGUGUUCCAAACCAGAUGUUCCAAACCAGAUAACCCCUUGUCAAUAGAAAAGACAAUGAUUUACACUACUGAGGGUGCUUCGAAGCAGCUGAACUGAGGGUAUAAAAAUCUGUAAAAAGUGUGUGCGCUUCAAGAAGAAGGAAGAAGAAGGAAGGAAGGAGAGAAAGAAAGAAGAAAACUCCUGUGCUGACACCAUCCCCUGUUGUUCUUGGGACGCUGGAAGAACAGAUCAUCUCCCUUCAAGGACUGUGCCUGUCAGCUCUGCAGCCUGAGUACCUUGUGUGGUUUCUGCUACUAUGAGAAGAUUCUAAUGGCGAAUUUCCUUGAUGGCUCCAUCCUACUUACUACGGUGAGAAGAAAUUUAAAAAUAUCAUCACUAUGCUCAUCUUGUUUUAUGAACAGAUUCACGUAUUCACAGAAGUUUAGGGCUGGAAGGAACUUCAUGAGAUCAUCAGGUCCAGCCCCCCUGUUCUGGGCAGGAAAGACUAGUGGCGUCAGAUAACCCCAGCAAGGUUGGCUAAUCUCAAAUGGUGAGCUUUAAACUAGGUUCAUGCAGGAGGACACUUUGACAUCAAGCCAGGUGACUCGAGUAGGAACAACCCAGGUUUGGUCUUAGGCACCACUGCUUUUUUUUAAUGCCCAUAGAAGGACUUGGGCUAUGUCUACAGUGCACCUGGAAGCAUGAGUUCAGCUUGUGCAGAUGUACCCAUGUGAACACCCAUAUCAAGGAGACUGUAGCAGCAGAAGUUUCAGCAGUCAAACAGGGUUGUGGGCAAGGACCAGAUGGUACAGAAGCUUGGAAAUGUUUAUGUUAAUGAUUCACCAGACUGACAGGAACAGAUCCAGGAUUUAAUGUAUGCUUACACCUACUGUUACGUGCCAAGAGAACCCUAAAUGAAAAUGAACAGAAAUCAUGUGGGCACAAGAAACUUUUCAAGACCAGGAUUUACCAGAAUAUGAAUUUUGGAAACACAUGAAGACUAACAGUGGAUGUGAUAUCUGGAUACUGCAUUGGAGGCAUAUUGUGGGCCAAUACACCCAACAGAAUAACAGACAUGGAUCCAGAAGACAAACUAUCAGUUGUGCACAGUGGGCAAACAGCACAAGAUACAAACCACAGCAACAACUGUGAAGAAAAUGUCACAACAUUUUUUGGCAUGAGGCACUGAAAGCAAAAGCAUUAUACACUGACUCUGGAAGAUGAAAGAAGCCAUUCUCCUUGGCUAUGAUCUGCACCAUCAUGAAAACAUGGCAAGAAAUGUGUGUACAGGCAUUCAAGUGCCCUUUUGUCUGGAGUGCUUCAAAGCGUUGCAAGAGCCCACACAGUUGAUGCUCCUCAUCCAUGAGGCUGGUGUGCAGAGAUCCCAGCAUGCUUUGCAGGGGCCCUUGUCUCUGGAGGUUCCUGAGGACAGCCAAGUCCAGGGAAAAGAACUGAUUAGCUGGCCACCCAUGGAACCAUACCCACCAAGGACUUCUUGCUCAGCCCUCGGUACUGGGCUGCCAAAGCCACAGGACAGAGACUGGCAACAGGGAAGGGCUCUAACACUGGCUCCACUUCAGGAGGUGGGCUUCAUGGAUUCCUCUUGGUCUCCGCUAUGGUCUUUAUGAAUUACAGCAGACAAUCUCAACACUAAGCACACACAGGUUAUGUUACAGUCCUGCAAGGCUCCAAUGUUGCCUCUGCUUUGGAAGAAGUGCCGAAGAGUCUCCCCUUCACUCUGGCCAUCACAUUUGCCAUGUGUAAAAGGAAGGACCUGGACAUAAACUCAAUCCCCCAUGGGUGCUUGGUUGGUUUCUGUAGUGUCUUGUCGGUUUCUGUACUGUACCAACUACCACGUUUGCCUUACAGAAAGUUUCCCUGGUUCAAGACCCAUAAAAGACAACCUCCUGCUUGCUGCCUUCCCUGCAGCCUGGCUUGUAAAUAAUGCCAGAGAUGAUGAUUCAGCAGAAAUCAGUGUUUUUGGCAGGGCAGAAGGGUCUCAGUGGCAGAUUCCUGCUCCAUUUGUUGGGCAUGAAGGACUUUCUCUUGUCCACAAAGAGAAACAAGGUGAACAAUGCACAGCAGGGGAAACAUGGCUGUUUGUGGGCCAGGCUUCACUUCCUUGGGGUAGCAGAGUCUGACGUGAAUCACAAAGUCUCUGGAGCCAUGGCAGGGAUACAGAGCACAACCUCCUGGGAUAACAGAGGACCAAGGUACAUCCAGUGAUGCUCCACAUAACUGGACUGGU
This is a long non-coding RNA of Alligator mississippiensis (American alligator), 3327 nucleotides long. RefSeq lists it as uncharacterized. Lineage: Eukaryota; Metazoa; Chordata; Crocodylia; Alligatoridae. The transcript has 11 exons. The record is from RefSeq and is a predicted model, not a curated record.